This 83-nucleotide transfer RNA is filed under the name Henningerozyma blattae CBS 6284. RNAcentral's name for it is "Tetrapisispora blattae CBS 6284 tRNA-Leu". It matches the Rfam family "tRNA". From Rfam's summary of the family: Transfer RNA (tRNA) molecules are approximately 80 nucleotides in length. Their secondary structure includes four short double-helical elements and three loops (D, anti-codon, and T loops). Lineage: Eukaryota; Fungi; Ascomycota; Saccharomycetes; Saccharomycetales; Saccharomycetaceae. The record is from RNAcentral.
GGUUGUUUGGCCGAGCGGUCUAAGGCGCCUGAUUCAAGCCUCAGGUAUCGUAAGAUGCAAGAGUUCGAAUCUCUUAGCAACCA